Molecule: ribosomal RNA, 481 nt
Filed under: uncultured bacterium
Lineage: Bacteria
Description: bacterial SSU rRNA
Rfam family: Bacterial small subunit ribosomal RNA
Source: RNAcentral
GACGAACGCUGGCGGCGUGCCUAAUACAUGCAAGUCGAGCGGACCCUUCGGGGUUAGCGGCGGACGGGUGAGUAACACGUGGGUAAUCUGCCCAACUGACUGGAAUAACGCCUGGAAACGGGUGCUAAUGCCGGAUAGGCAACUGGUAGGCAUCUACCGGUUGGGAAAGGUGCAACUGCACCGCAGAUGGAGGAGCCCGCGGCGCAUUAGCUAGUUGGUGGGGUAACGGCCUACCAAGGCGACGAUGCGUAGCCGACCUGAGAGGGUGGACGGCCACACUGGGACUGAGACACGGCCCAGACUCCUACGGGAGGCAGCAGUAGGGAAUCUUCCGCAAUGGGCGCAAGCCUGACGGAGCAACGCCGCGUGAGCGAAGAAGGCCUUCGGGUUGUAAAGCUCAGUCACUCGGGAAGAGCGGACGAGGGAGUGGAAAGCCCUCGUCGAGACGGUACCGAGAGAGGAAGCCCCGGCUAACUACGUG